RNAcentral lists this ribosomal RNA (465 nucleotides) under uncultured bacterium. RNAcentral's name for it is "partial 16S ribosomal RNA". It matches the Rfam family "Bacterial small subunit ribosomal RNA", at positions 338 to 795 of the family's 1533-position model. The record is from RNAcentral.
CCUACGGGUGGCAGCAGUAGGGAAUCUUCCACAAUGGACGAAAGUCUGAUGGAGCAACGCCGCGUGAGGGCAGAAGGGUUUCGGCUCGUAAAGCUCUGUUGGUAGGGAAGAAAGAUCGCGGUAGUAACUGGCCUUUAUUUGACGGUAAUUACUUAGAAAGUCACGGCUAACUACGUGCCAGCAGCCGCGGUAAUACGUAGGUGGCAAGCGUUGUCCGGAUUUAUUGGGCGUAAAGCGAGUGCCGGCGGGUCAAUAAGUCGGAGGUGAAAGCCUUCGGCUCAACCGGGGAAUUGCAUCAGAAACUGUUGAACUGGAGUGCAGAAGAGGAGAGUGGAACUCCAUGUGUAGCGGUGGAAUGCGUAGAUAUAUGGAGGAACACCAGUGGCGAAGGCGGCUCUCUGGUCUGCAACUGACGCUGAGGCUCGAAAGCAUGGGUAGCGAACAGGAUUAGAUACCCGAGUAGUC